GAUGAACGCUGGCGGCGUGCCUAAUACAUGCAAGUCGAGCGAACAGACGAGGAGCUUGCUCCUCUGACGUUAGCGGCGGACGGUUGAGUAACACGUGGAUAACCUACCUAUAAGACUGGGAUAACUUCUUGAAACCGGAGCUAAUACCGGAUAAUAUAUUGAACCGCAUUGUUCAAUAGUGAAAGACGGUUUUGCUGUCACUUAUAGAUGUAUCCGCGCCGCAGUAGCUAGUUGGUAAGGUAACGGCUUACGAAGGCAACGAUGCGUAGCCGACCUGAUAGGGUGAUGGGCAACACUCGAACUGAGACACGGUCAAGACUCAUACGGGAGGCAGAAGUAGGGAAUCUGAAGAAAUGGGCGAAAGCCUGAGGGAGAAACGCCGAGCGAGUGAGGAAGGUCAUCGGAUCGUAAAACUUUGUUAUUAGGGAAGAACAAAUGUGUAAGUAACGAUGCACGUAUUGACGGUACCUAAUCAGAAAGCCACGGCUAACUACGUG
RNAcentral lists this ribosomal RNA (497 nucleotides) under uncultured bacterium. Its description in RNAcentral is "partial 16S ribosomal RNA". It matches the Rfam family "Bacterial small subunit ribosomal RNA", at positions 28 to 507 of the family's 1533-position model. The record is from RNAcentral.